This 520-nucleotide ribosomal RNA is filed under the name uncultured Glomus. RNAcentral describes it as "SSU rRNA". It matches the Rfam family "Eukaryotic small subunit ribosomal RNA", at positions 569 to 1085 of the family's 1831-position model. Lineage: Eukaryota; Fungi; Glomeromycota; Glomeromycetes; Glomerales; Glomeraceae. The record is from RNAcentral.
AGCAGCCGCGGUAAUUCCAGCUCCAAUAGCGUAUAUUAAAGUUGUUGCAGUUAAAAAGCUCGUAGUUGAAUUUCGGGAUCAAUAUGUCGGUCGUGCCUUCGGUACGUACUGGUAUCAUUGGUCUCUCCUUUCUGACGAACCAUGAUGUCAUUAAUUUGGUGUUAUGGGGAGUUAGGACUGUUACUUUGAAAAAAAUUAGAGUGUUUAAAGCAGGCUUUAGCUUGAAUACAUUAGCAUGGAAUAAUGAAAUAGGACGUUCGAACCUAUUUUGUUGGUUUCUAGGAUCAACGUAAUGAUUAAUAGGGAUAGUUGGGGGCAUUAGUAUUCAAUUGUCAGAGGUGAAAUUCUUGGAUUUAUUGAAGACUAACUACUGCGAAAGCAUUUGCCAAGGAUGUUUUCAUUAAUCUAAAGACGAAAGUUAGGGGGAUCGAAGACGAUCAGAUACCGUCGUAGUCUUAACCAUAAAACUAUGCCGACUAGGGAUCGGGAUGAUGUUAAUUUUUUAAUGACUCAUUCGGCG